UUGACCUCAAUCAGGUAGGACUACCCGCUGAACU
This 34-nucleotide ribosomal RNA is filed under the name Armillaria sp. CMW38630. RNAcentral describes it as "partial 28S ribosomal RNA". Lineage: Eukaryota; Fungi; Basidiomycota; Agaricomycetes; Agaricales; Physalacriaceae. The record is from RNAcentral.